Molecule: unclassified non-coding RNA, 278 nt
Filed under: Hevea brasiliensis (rubber tree)
Lineage: Eukaryota; Viridiplantae; Streptophyta; Magnoliopsida; Malpighiales; Euphorbiaceae
Source: RNAcentral
GCACGGACUUGUCGCCGAGCAUGAUGGUGGCGAUCAGCGCGACCUCGAUGAUGGUCACCGCCAGCGUCAGCAGCAGCGUGCCGUAGGGCUCGCCGAUCCUGUGGGCGAUCACCUCGGCAUGAUGGACAGCGGCAAACACGGUGCCGAACAGAAUGACCAGCAGCACCGCUGCGAAGGCAAACCCUGCCGCUGUAUGACUGAAACCGAUCCCCGGAAUCAUCGUGCUUGCGAACAGCAAAACGGCCAGCGCGGGAUAAACCCAGGCUGACCGCGGCAUG